GGACCCUGAAAGACAACUCUCUGCAACUUUAAGAACAUGGACUGGGCUUGAAGGGGCAGUAAGGAAAGAAUGAUUCAUUUUGACUGUGAUUGCUGGGAAAGAUAUCUUGAAAUGGAGACUGUGGAUGAAGUUUUGUGUUUGCUCUACUGACCUGAAGUGAGGAACAACCACAUACAUCUUUGUCUUCACUCUGUCCAGCUGUCAACUGCAUUGUUCCCUCACGUCUUCCUGCAAAGUACCAUUAUUUCCACACCUUAAGAAUUAAAGAGUGAAGAGAAAACGACAAAAUGUUCUUGUUUAUCAGGAGAUGGGGGUGAGCUGAGCUUUCCACAAGGUCCUGAAUGGAUGAGAAGGACCCAAAACAUAUGGAAAAUAUGGAGAAUAGGGUAUAAGUAAUAAAAAUAAAAAUAAAAUAAAUAAAAUAAAUUGGGAAU
This 434-nucleotide long non-coding RNA is filed under the name Homo sapiens (human). Its description in RNAcentral is "HSALNT0244735". Lineage: Eukaryota; Metazoa; Chordata; Mammalia; Primates; Hominidae. The record is from RNAcentral.